RNAcentral lists this ribosomal RNA (467 nucleotides) under uncultured bacterium. Its description in RNAcentral is "partial 16S ribosomal RNA". It matches the Rfam family "Bacterial small subunit ribosomal RNA", at positions 28 to 507 of the family's 1533-position model. The record is from RNAcentral.
GACGAACGCUGGCGGCGUGCUUAACACAUGCAAGUCGAACGGAAAGGCCCUGCUUUUGUGGGGUGCUCGAGUGGCGAACGGGUGAGUAACACGUGAGUAACCUGCCUUUGACUUUGGGAUAACUUCAGGAAACUGGGGCUAAUACCGGAUAGGAGCUCCUGCUGCAUGGUGGGGGUUGGAAAGUUUCGGCGGUUGGGGAUGGACUCGCGGCUUAUCAGCUUGUUGGUGGGGUAGUGGCUUACCAAGGCUUUGACGGGUAGCCGGCCUGAGAGGGUGACCGGCAAGCUGGGGUCGGAAGGAGGGACCGGCCUCACACGGGGGGGAGGAGGGGGGAGUUUGGAACAGAGGGGGGGAGCAUGACGGAGCAACCCCGGGGGCGGGAGGGCGCCCUUCGGGUUGGAACCAGAUUUCGCCUGGAAGGGAGGGGAAGGAGGGGAAAGGGGUAAAAAGGCCCGGCUAAAUUCGGG